AUGAUGAGAAAAAAGUAAAAUUUUAUGGUUAGAACACAAUGAUCAACCGUGAUUAAUACUUACUAGGGCGGACUGAUAUG
Small nucleolar RNA from Drosophila albomicans, 80 nucleotides. RefSeq annotates it as small nucleolar RNA U43. Lineage: Eukaryota; Metazoa; Arthropoda; Insecta; Diptera; Drosophilidae. The transcript has a single exon. The record is from RefSeq and is a predicted model, not a curated record.